UCAAUUGAUUGCUAUUUGCACCAAAGGCAUUACUCUCACUGUUAAUGGCUGCCAGUGAAUUUCCUGUUUGUUGCCCCCUCUACCUGUUGCUCAGAAUGUAGCCGUUGUUCAGGAUAGUGAUGGCCAUGACUCCUGUAAUUCUGUUCAUAUUCCUGCAUUACACCUGCUUUGCAUAUUGCUUUAUUUUACAUUGUUGAGAAAAAUAAUUCAACAUCUUGAAUUCAUUCAAGCAUACCGUUUUUGUGCUUUCUAAAAGCUAUUGCAAGACUGGAGAAGGUCAUUCCACCAUCGCGGGAAGAGAGCAGAGAAGAACGGGGACCACAAAGAGUGGCUGCUGGAAGCUCAGAGGGAUUUGACGGCCAGCUGUUGGGAGGGUGCUGAAAGGAGAAGUCUGGUUGGAGUGCAUAAUGUGAUCAGGUGGGAAGCAGCAUUCUGGACGAAUUGCAGGGGCUUGAAAGAAGACACAGACCGGUAACCCAGCCAGCAAGGCGUUGGAGUCGUCCAGAGCAGAGAUGACAAGGAUACAAUCUGCUAUGUAGCCUCUUGGAUGAGGAAGGGGAGAAUGUUGUAACAGCUCGGGGAGGGUGGUGCUCAUAAACUGCAUUGUUUUUUGCAAAUAUAUGGAGCAAUCAUGUAUCUUUAUAUCCAGCUAUGCCUUGUUUUAGUGCAUUUUGUAAUUCACUAUGACUACUUCACUUUCAUACUUUACUUUUAUGAACUGUUUUCUUUUACAAUAGUGCUUGGAUAUACUAUAAACAGGUUUUACUACAACUUAAAAUUGACAAAAAUUAUAAGUAACAGAGCACUGGAUUACUUUAUAGUUUUUCCAGUUAAGAAAAAAUACACUAACUAAACAAAUA
Long non-coding RNA from Anguilla anguilla (European eel), 860 nucleotides. RefSeq lists it as uncharacterized. The transcript has 2 exons. NCBI's taxonomy places the organism in Eukaryota, Metazoa, Chordata, Actinopteri, Anguilliformes, Anguillidae. The record is from RefSeq and is a predicted model, not a curated record.